UGCUCAGGACGAACGCUGGCGGCGUGCUUAACACAUGCAAGUCGAGCGGUAAGGCCUUUCGGGGUACACGAGCGGCGAACGGGUGAGUAACACGUGGGUGAUCUGCCCUGCACUCUGGGAUAAGCUUGGGAAACUGGGUCUAAUACCGGAUAUGACCACAGCAUGCAUGUGUUGUGGUGGAAAGAUUUAUCGGUGCAGGAUGGGCCCGCGGCCUAUCAGCUUGUUGGUGGGGUAAUGGCCUACCAAGGCGACGACGGGUAGCCGACCUGAGAGGGUGACCGGCCACACUGGGACUGAGACACGGCCCAGACUCCUACGGGAGGCAGCAGUGGGGAAUAUUGCACAAUGGGCGGAAGCCUGAUGCAGCGACGCCGCGUGAGGGAUGAAGGCCUUCGGGUUGUAAACCUCUUUCAGCAGGGACGAAGCGUGAGUGACGGUACCUGCAGAAGAAGCACCGGCUAACUACGUGCCAGCAGCCGCGGUAAUACGUAGGGUGCGAGCGUUGUCCGGAAUUACUGGGCGUAAAGAGUUCGUAGGCGGUUUGUCGCGUCGUUUGUGAAAACCCGGGGCUCAACUUCGGGCUUGCAGGCGAUACGGGCAGACUUGAGUGUUUCAGGGGAGACUGGAAUUCCUGGUGUAGCGGUGAAAUGCGCAGAUAUCAGGAGGAACACCGGUGGCGAAGGCGGGUCUCUGGGAAACAACUGACGCUGAGGAACGAAAGCGUGGGUAGCAAACAGGAUUAGAUACCCUGGUAGUCCACGCCGUAAACGGUGGGCGCUAGGUGUGGGUUCCUUCCACGGGAUCUGUGCCGUAGCUAACGCAUUAAGCGC
RNAcentral lists this ribosomal RNA (830 nucleotides) under Rhodococcus sp. (in: high G+C Gram-positive bacteria). RNAcentral describes it as "bacterial SSU rRNA". It matches the Rfam family "Bacterial small subunit ribosomal RNA", at positions 21 to 867 of the family's 1533-position model. The record is from RNAcentral. Lineage: Bacteria; Bacillati; Actinomycetota; Actinomycetes; Mycobacteriales; Nocardiaceae.